AACAACAGUAACUAUCAAUCAGGAAUGAUAAACUAAAGCAACAGGAGCAGUUUUUAAACCAAAACAGCUUCACAAUACCCAGGAAGGAACUACAGAAGUAAAACACCCAAUAGAUGACAAAAAUAGCUUGAUUGAACCCAAAAUACUCGAAAUUAACCCAGGAACACUUUGAAGUUCCAGCAACCAAACAACAAGGAAUUCUCAAAUCAUUUUCAUAUUAUUCUGGGCUAGAGAUUCGAAUCUGAAACUAGUACUUGAAAUUAUUCUAAGAAACAUUUCAAUAGAACUAUAUUUUUGGGAUUUUUUGAAGGUUUUCUGUUGUUUUUUGGUUUUUGAAGAACUAGAUCUAGAGUUUUUGGAUUUGAAAUUCAAAUCUUCAGCUUAUGAAGACUUGUGGAAAU
This 401-nucleotide long non-coding RNA is filed under the name Nicotiana benthamiana. RNAcentral describes it as "long non-coding RNA (NBEN_LNC003313)". The record is from RNAcentral. Lineage: Eukaryota; Viridiplantae; Streptophyta; Magnoliopsida; Solanales; Solanaceae.